GUAGCUCUACUUCAAAGGCAGCAAGAUCAUCCAGAAGCUCCCUGUUCUGUUGUGCAUAUUUUUCUUCAACUUCAGAGUUAAGGUGAAGUUUAUUGGUCACAGAUUCAAGUUCAACCUGAAGUUUCUCCACGAGGGCAGUUGACACAUCAAAUUUAGCUACCAUACUCUCUAUAUCUUUUUUAUACUUUUGCUUCAUGCAAAUUAUUUCUGAUCUACUAGCUUUCAAAGACACCUCAGCAACUGAUAUUUCACUUUCUAGAUUUUGCUUCUCCUGCAUAAGAUGAAGGAUCUUGCUUAACA
RNAcentral lists this unclassified non-coding RNA (300 nucleotides) under Hevea brasiliensis (rubber tree). The record is from RNAcentral. Lineage: Eukaryota; Viridiplantae; Streptophyta; Magnoliopsida; Malpighiales; Euphorbiaceae.